UAUUCCUUUUUAAUAUAAUCUUACAAUAGUUUUACACUAUUACAAAGUGUUAAUAAGAAAAGAUUAUGAUGUUGUGGGAGUUAAAGUACAAAUUAAGAAGUUUUACAAAGAAGGAAAAGUGGAUGAUUACUAAAAGUCACUCUAGCAUAAAGUUUUAUUUUCUUCAAAAGGAAGGAUAACAUUCAAUGUUAGUUGAUUAAUGGUUGUUUAUUUAGCACUUACCAUGUACCAGGCAAUGUUCUAAGUGUGUUCCAUGUAUCAAUUCAUUUAAUCCUCACAGUAAUCUGGAGGGAGUUACUAUUAUUAACUUUUAAGUUACAGGUGAGAAAACCAGCACAAAGGUUGCCCCAAGCCACCCAGCUUGAAGUUGUGGUCCUACCCAUGACAAUAUUUUGCCACACAGGAAAGAGAACCUGUGAAUAAAAGGUGUCACAGCUCAAUGUCACCCUGAGAAGACUGUCUGAUAACGGAUUUGUCUCUACUCCAUCCUGGUUUUUUGUUUUUUUUUUUUACCCUUUAUUUUAUUUGUUUAUUUUUAUGUGGUGCCAGGGAUCGAACCCAGUGCCUCACACAUGCUAGGUAAGCGCUCUACCACUGAGCCAUAACCCUGGCCCCAUUCUGUUUUUUAUUCUUUGUAAAAAUUAUUACUAUUUGAAAUACUAUACUAGCUUGUAUUUACCUGCUACCUGUACUAGAAUGUAAUCUCCACAAAGUAGAGAUUUUGUUUUAUUUCCCAAUCAUAUUCUCAAAUAUGUGUUAGCAAAUAAAUUUACUCGUCUCUCUAGCA
Marmota monax (woodchuck) is the source of this 787-nucleotide long non-coding RNA. RefSeq lists it as uncharacterized. The record is from RefSeq and is a predicted model, not a curated record. The transcript has 2 exons. Lineage: Eukaryota; Metazoa; Chordata; Mammalia; Rodentia; Sciuridae.